UACGUAGGGAGCGAGCGUUGUCCGGAAUUACUGGGCGUAAAGGGCGCGUAGGCGGGACAUUAAGUCAGGUGUGAAAACUCCGGGCUCAACUUGGAGGUUGCACAUGAAACUGAUGUUCUUGAGGACAGGAGAGGAAAGUGGAAUUCCUAGUGUAGCGGUGAAAUGCGUAGAUAUUAGGAGGAACACCAGUGGCGAAGGCGACUUUCUGGACUGUAACUGACGCUGAGGCGCGAAAGCGUGGGGAGUGAACGGGAUUAGAUACC
This 263-nucleotide ribosomal RNA is filed under the name uncultured bacterium. RNAcentral describes it as "partial 16S ribosomal RNA". It matches the Rfam family "Bacterial small subunit ribosomal RNA", at positions 524 to 786 of the family's 1533-position model. The record is from RNAcentral.